This 99-nucleotide ribosomal RNA is filed under the name Microcebus murinus (gray mouse lemur). The record is from RNAcentral. Lineage: Eukaryota; Metazoa; Chordata; Mammalia; Primates; Cheirogaleidae.
UACGGCCAUACCACCCUGGAUGCCUGAUCUCUUCUGAUCUUGGAAGCAGGGUUGGGCCUGGUUAGUACUUGGAUGCGAGAAAAGAAGCUGUCUCCAUAA